This 76-nucleotide microRNA precursor is filed under the name Rhizobium leguminosarum bv. trifolii WSM597. Its description in RNAcentral is "mir-423". Lineage: Bacteria; Pseudomonadati; Pseudomonadota; Alphaproteobacteria; Hyphomicrobiales; Rhizobiaceae. The record is from RNAcentral.
AACGGGGAGAGGGGACGUGCCUAACGAGAGAUCCGCAAGGAACGGAGAGGUUGCGGCUAUCUUCCUUCGCCCCGUU